This is a long non-coding RNA of Monodelphis domestica (gray short-tailed opossum), 1703 nucleotides long. The record is from Ensembl. Lineage: Eukaryota; Metazoa; Chordata; Mammalia; Didelphimorphia; Didelphidae.
UAAUCUUUGGUUUUUAACAUGUUCACAUUUAUGAUAUAGCAGCAAAGUAUUAAGAAUGAUUCCACCAUCUUCCAUAAACACAUUUUCAGCUCCUGCUGGAGAUCACUGUGACACUCAGUUUGAAUUCCACUGGAUUCAAAAGUUUCUCUUUGCCAAGGAUUCUUACUGGAUUAACCCCAAAACACCAAGGAAAAUGCAAAGGGACCUGAUAAUAUAUCUUUGGGGACAGCCUGAACUUUCUGGGUGACAGCCAUAAGUUGCCAUCCCUCCGGACAUCUCCAAAGCUCACAAGGACACAUGCCAGGUGGGAGCUGCCUCUGACCCAGCCAGAAUGUGGCUAGCCCACAAAGCCUCAGCCUGCUUGCUCACAGCUAUCCUCCUCCUGUGAUUCCAGUACCAGGUCCACCUCAGCCAAGAAGGCCAGAAUGCAAUCUGCUCAGGAUAUUGUUCCAUUGUGGAGUACUCAAGUGCAAAUGGCAGGCUACACAAGCACAGCUUUGUCAAAGAAGAUCAGGGAGCUGAAAUAGGAAGGCAGAGGGCAGUCGAGCUAUUGGCCUUGCUGAUCCCAAGUCUUGUUUCAUUUGGAUUAAAGGCUGAAUAGCAUGCCUUUCAAGGGACCUCAGAGAUUUCAUGUCCACUGCCGUGUGAUGAUAAUUCAGACCUGCAUUAUCUAUGAAACUGAUCAUGUCACUCCUCUGCUCAAAAAUAUUCAGUGGCUCUCUUUUUCUUCCUUAUAACCCUAUCUAGGUUUAUGAGAUAAUUAAAUUUUAAAUGACUAGUUUUGAUUUGGAAAAAGGGAACUAUUCCUUGAAGUUGUCAGUUGAAUGAGCUGCUAGAGUUAAAAAUUGACUUGGGAAGGAAAUGGCAAACCAUUUCAGUGUCCUUGCCAAGAAAAUCCCAUGGAUAGCUAUGGUCCAGGGGUUCACGAAGUGACAGACACAACUGAAUGACUGAACAACAGAAUAGUCAAAAAGAAAAAAAAACAAAAGAGAACAAAAAACUAGAAAUUAGUCUACUUUUGCACAAAGCCCAGGUGCUUUAUAUAUUUGGAGCACUGGACCCUAAUCUUUUCUUCCUCUUCAAUCCAUCCUCCACUUAUCUGCCAAAGUAAUCUUCCUAAGACAUAGACAAUUUUGAUGUGGCCAUUCCCCUUCUGAAGCCUUCAGUAGUUCCAUAAUGGCCACAGGACAAAGCAUGAAUUUCUUAUCCUAUCAUUUAAGGGCCUCUAUUGAUCUCUCUUGAAACUCCCAUUCUAUUUUUGCAUUGCUCCCCACCAUACAUUUUACUUAGUAGUUAAAUUGGAUAUUAUUUGUCAAACCUGACAUUUUUUCUGAGUCUGUAUAUUUGUAUUAGGCAGUUCUUUGUACUUGGAACAUGUUCUUUCCUUAUCCAAACUUUUCAGAAACUUUAUUUUCUCCAAGACUCAGUUUAGGUUCUGGAUUUUCCAUGUAGUCUCCACUAUUGGCCUCAGCUUAUUGUAUUUUGGCCUUCUGAUUUUCCAAGAGAAUUUUCUUUAAUUUCUCUUUUGUCCCCUUCCCUUCUUAUAUUUUAUUAUGUUUCUUUGUGAAUUUGUCACUGACACUACAGUGAAAAAUAAGCUGUUUGAGUGGAGGGACUCUCAUCUUUUAUUUUUAUUUCUCCAGUAAUAGAUAUAGACCCUUGUAUAUAAUAAAUGUUUGUUGAAUGAAUUAAUGAAUAGUAAU